UAUAAUUAACGAAAAGUUAUUUCCGUGUGUGUGGCAUCAAAUAAAUAGAGGGUAUGAACUUUUGUCAUGGUGUUGCAUCAUUGUUGUAUGUUGGUAGAUUGGUUUUUCACGAGUAUCUAUACUCCUUAUAAAAAGGAGUAGUGGUGAUGAUUCUGCUACCACCCCACUACCAACUCUUAUCUUUUUUUAAGGACAUCUAGGAUUAGUGGGCCCAUAUGUCAUUACUCUCACCAACUUUUAUUCUUGUGAAAGGUUAUUACCGUGCGAAUAAAUAGUGGGUUUGAACUGU
Molecule: small RNA, 289 nt
Filed under: Oryza sativa Japonica Group (Japanese rice)
Lineage: Eukaryota; Viridiplantae; Streptophyta; Magnoliopsida; Poales; Poaceae
Description: misc RNA CYP75B4
Source: RNAcentral